This 801-nucleotide ribosomal RNA is filed under the name uncultured bacterium. RNAcentral's name for it is "bacterial SSU rRNA". It matches the Rfam family "Bacterial small subunit ribosomal RNA", at positions 8 to 796 of the family's 1533-position model. The record is from RNAcentral.
AGAGUUUGAUCCUGGCUCAGAACGAACGCUGGCGGCGCGUUUUAAGCAUGCAAGUCGAACGGCAGUCGCGGGGCAACCUGCGACGAGAGUGGCGAACGGGUGAGUAAUACGCAGGUGAUCUGCCCUUGGAUGUGGGAUAGUCCGUGGAAACACGGGGUAAUACCGCAUGAGGCCCCUGGUGUAAAGGCUGGGGGUGAAAGCUUCAAUUGGAGCGUCUGGGGAUGAGCCUGUGGCCCAUUAGGUAGUUGGUGGGGUAAAGGCCUACCAAGCCGACGAUGGGUAGCCGGCCUGAGAGGGUGUACGGCCACACUGGAACUGGGACACGGUCCAGACUCCUACGGGAGGCAGCAGCUAAGAAUCUUCCGCAAUGGGGGAAACCCUGACGGAGCGACGCCGCGUGGAUGAUGAAGGCCGUAAGGUUGUAAAAUCCUUUUCCUGGUGAAGAAUAAGCGGGGGAGUGGAAAGCCGCCGUGAUGACGUUAACCAGGGAAUAAGCCCCGGCCAAUUACGUGCCAGCAGCCGCGGUAAUACGUAUGGGGCAAGCGUUGUUCGGAGUUAUUGGGCGUAAAGGGCGUGUAGGCGGCCCGUCAAGUCUGGUGUGAAAUCGCAGGGCUCAACCCUGCGUAUGCGCUGGAAACUGACAGGCUGGAGUCCUGAGGGGGAAACUGGAAUUCCUGGUGUAGGAGUGAAAUCUGUAGAUAUCAGGAAGAACACCGGUGGCGAAGGCGAGUUUCUACUCAUGGACUGACGCUGAGGCGCGAAAGCGUGGGGAGCAAACAGGAUUAGAUACCCUGGUAGUCC